GAUGAACGCUGACAGAAUGCUUAACACAUGCAAGUCUUUGGCGAAGCUGUGCUUGCACAGCCUAGCCAAGGCGGACGGGUGAGUAACGCGUAAGGAACUUGCCCUGCAGUCAGGGAUAACAGACGGAAACGACUGAUAAGACCUGGUAAAGUCAGGCGGACUCAUGUCCAGCCUGAUGAAAAGAGAUGCUGCAGGAGAGCCUUGCGUCCUAUUAGCUUGUUGGUGGGGUAACGGCCCACCAAGGCGAUGAUAGGUAGCCGGCCUGAGAGGGUGGACGGCCACAAGGGGACGGAGAUACGGCCCUUACUCCUACGGGAGGCAGCAGUGGGGAAUAUUGGACAAUGGGGGCAACCCUGAUCCAGCAAUUCUGUGUGCACGAUGAAGGUUUUCGGAUUGUAAAGUGCUUUCAGCAGGGAAGAAAAAAAUGACGGUACCUGCAGAAGAAGCGACGGCUAAAUACGUG
Molecule: ribosomal RNA, 463 nt
Filed under: uncultured bacterium
Lineage: Bacteria
Description: partial 16S ribosomal RNA
Rfam family: Bacterial small subunit ribosomal RNA
Source: RNAcentral